AGUGAACGCUGGCGGUAGGCCUAACACAUGCAAGUCGAACGGCAGCACAGUAAGAGCUUGCUCUUACGGGUGGCGAGUGGCGGACGGGUGAGGAAUACAUCGGAAUCUACUUUUUCGUGGGGGAUAACGUAGGGAAACUUACGCUAAUGCCGCAUACGACCUACGGGUGAAAGCAGGGGAUCUUCGGACCUUGCGCGAUUGAAUGAGCCGAUGUCGGAUUAGCUAGUUGGCGGGGUAAAGGCCCACCAAGGCGACGAUCCGUAGCUGGUCUGAGAGGAUGAUCAGCCACACUGGAACUGAGACACGGUCCAGACUCCUACGGGAGGCAGCAGUGGGGAAUAUUGGACAAUGGGCGCAAGCCUGAUCCAGCCAUACCGCGUGGGUGAAGAAGGCCUUCGGGUUGUAAAGCCCUUUUGUUGGGAAAGAAAAGCAGCAGGUUAAUACCCCGCUGUUCUGACGGAACCCAAAGAAUAAGCACCGGCUAACUUCGUG
This 492-nucleotide ribosomal RNA is filed under the name uncultured bacterium. RNAcentral's name for it is "partial 16S ribosomal RNA". It matches the Rfam family "Bacterial small subunit ribosomal RNA", at positions 29 to 507 of the family's 1533-position model. The record is from RNAcentral.